UUCGGGGAAUUCCGAGACAGGUGCUGCAUGGCUGUCGUCAGCUCGUGCCGUGAGGUGUGGGUUAAGUCCCGCAACGAGCGCAACCCUAUUGCCAGUUGCUACCAGGUAAUGCUGGGCACUCUGGUGAGACUGCCCGGUUAACGGGGAGGAAGGUGGGGACGACGUCAAGUCAUCGUGGCCCUUACGCCUAGGGCUACACACGUACUACAAUGGCGCAUACAAAGGGCAGCGAUACCGCGAGGUGGAGCCAAUCCCAAAAAGUGCGUCCCAGUCCGGAUUGCAGUCUGCAACUCGACUGCAUGAAGUUGGAAUCGCUAGUAAUUCGAGAUCAGCAUGCUCGGGUGAAUGCGUUCCCGGGCCUU
This 362-nucleotide ribosomal RNA is filed under the name uncultured Desulfovibrio sp. Its description in RNAcentral is "bacterial SSU rRNA". It matches the Rfam family "Bacterial small subunit ribosomal RNA", at positions 1018 to 1382 of the family's 1533-position model. The record is from RNAcentral. Lineage: Bacteria; Pseudomonadati; Thermodesulfobacteriota; Desulfovibrionia; Desulfovibrionales; Desulfovibrionaceae.